AUGAACGCUGGCGGCGUGCCUAAUCCAUGCAAGUCGAGCGAACAGACGAGGAGCUUGCUCCUCUGACGUUAGCGGCGGACGGGUGAGUAACACGUGGAUAACCUACCUAUAAGACUGGGAUAACUUCGGGAAACCGGAGCUAAUACCGGAUAAUAUAUUGAACCGCAUGGUUCAAUAGUGAAAGACGGUUUUGCUGUCACUUAUAGAUGGAUCCGCGCCGCAUUAGCUAGUUGGUAAGGUAACGGCUUACCAAGGCAACGAUGCGUAGCCGACCUGAGAGGGUGAUCGGCCACACUGGAACUGAGACACGGUCCAGACUCCUACGGGAGGCAGCAGUAGGGAAUCUUCCGCAAAGGGCGAAAGCCUGACGGAGCAACGCCGCGUGAGUGAUGAAGGUCUUCGGAUCGUAAAACUCUGUUAUUAGUGAAGAACAAAUGUGUAAGUAACUAUGCACGUCUUGACGGUACCUAAUCAGAAAGCCACGGCUAACUACGUG
This 496-nucleotide ribosomal RNA is filed under the name uncultured bacterium. RNAcentral's name for it is "partial 16S ribosomal RNA". It matches the Rfam family "Bacterial small subunit ribosomal RNA", at positions 29 to 507 of the family's 1533-position model. The record is from RNAcentral.